GACACGUCCCCCGGGCGCCACUGCAGAGCCUGUCCGUCAGUCCCUAGGUAUCCGCACUGCUCAGGGGAGGAUUCCCUGGGAGCACCCACCAGCUGAGAUCUGCACAUCAGCCACAAUCCUCUCAGGACGGCGGAAAGGGAAGGGCUCAGCCGCCAGCCUGGCCACAGCCUGCAUCAUCUCAUCCCAGAGGCGGAGCACAGGCUCGGGGUCCUUCAGGGCCUGAAGGAGGUAGAGCCCGGUACUCACCCAGCAAUCAUUGUUGCCUGACAAAAGUCACAGAGAAGGCUCAGUUCUUCCUUCCUAUGAUAGAAGACUUCUAACUCUCAGGAAGUAGUUUGUUUCUCAAAGAGAAAACAUGGGGUGUUCAGUUGGCUGUGUGGCUGCUCCCAUCUGUAGAGGUGAAGUGGAUGUACGUAGUCUUCUAUGCUGACAGAAUAAUUCAAAAGAAUGCUUUGAAGAGUUUCGCUCUUGUUGCCCAGGCUGGAGUGCAAUGGUGCGAUCCUGGCUCACUGCAGCCUCUGCCUCCUGGGUUGAAGCGAUUCUCCUGUCUCAGCCUCCUGAGUAGCUGGGA
This 571-nucleotide long non-coding RNA is filed under the name Homo sapiens (human). Its description in RNAcentral is "novel transcript". Lineage: Eukaryota; Metazoa; Chordata; Mammalia; Primates; Hominidae. The record is from RNAcentral.